RNAcentral lists this unclassified non-coding RNA (266 nucleotides) under Hevea brasiliensis (rubber tree). The record is from RNAcentral. Lineage: Eukaryota; Viridiplantae; Streptophyta; Magnoliopsida; Malpighiales; Euphorbiaceae.
GCCAACGAAAGCCAUUGGAUUAACUUUGCGGAUCCUAGUAAGCAAUCAUGGUAAGGGCAGUGACACAUUGUGUAAGACCCCUUGUAACUUGGCGGGCACAGAAAUAAACAUUGCGGCUAUUUCUAGAAAUUUUCACAGGAUUCUCAAAUCCUCAAAAGGGGAAAACCAGACAAACGCCAUUAUAUUACACCACCACCAUCGUAAUCAAGAGCAGAACUUUUGAAACCCACCCUUGCCUGCCGGAGAACCGAAGCUUUUGUUUGUUU